This is a long non-coding RNA of Erinaceus europaeus (western European hedgehog), 767 nucleotides long. RefSeq lists it as uncharacterized. The transcript has 3 exons. The record is from RefSeq and is a predicted model, not a curated record. NCBI's taxonomy places the organism in Eukaryota, Metazoa, Chordata, Mammalia, Eulipotyphla, Erinaceidae.
GGAGCUGGAGGGGUGUCUCAUUGAAAGUUCGGACGCAGGCCUGGAAAGAGAGCAAGGCCCCUGGCUCCCCUCCUCCCACUGACAUCACCAACACCAUCAUCACCGUCAUUGUCAUCAUCAUCAUCAUCAUUAACCAGAGCACUGCUCACUUCUGCUGGGGUUAGAACCAAGGACUUCACAACUACAGUGAGCUCCAGGAUUCCUUCUGCCUCUCUACUGCCACAUAUACCCACCCUGGGCAGUUCAUACAGGCUGGGAAAUAAGUCGACUUUGUAAAGAACAACUCACCAACUGCUCUGGGUCCACGAACUCAAAGGCAAUCUGGCACGAGGUCUCCAUCUGACUGUCAAUCUGAAAACAAGAACAGCCAGUGAGGGCUGGGAGCCUGCAGCUUGACCAAGCUGGCUUAAGGCUGAACCAUCUGAGUGCAUCCUUAUCUACCAUCUCUACCUUCUGCACUCCAGCCCCUGACCCCCAGGUAUACCUGAAAAGACAGUCAAGGCCAGGGGAAGACCUAUGAUUCCCACUCACCCAGAGGAUGGCUAGGGAAGAGUAAGCCUUCUUCUAACUCUCAUUCCAUAAAUUAUAGCAGGUGCUACUUUGCUCAUCAGGAUUUGCUAAGAGAAGAGUCAGGUUAUAAUUUCCUGUGGGAGGUAGGGAGCCCCCUAUCAAGCAGAAGUUGUGCAAAUUCAGGCAGGGGAGGUAGCAUAAUGGUUAUAUAGAGACUUUCAUGCCUGAGGCUCUCAGGUGCCAGGUUCAGUCCUCCU